UAAGACGGAGGGCGCAAGCGUUGUUCGGAAUCACUGGGCAUAAAGGGCGCGUAGGCGGCCAGUUCAGUCGGAUGUGAAAUCCCCCGGCCCAACCGGGGAACUGCAUUCGAUACUGACUGGCUAGAGGAUGGUAGGAGCCAAUGGAACUCCAGGUGGAACGGUGAAAUGUGUAGAUAUCUGGAGGAACACCGGUGGCGAAAGCGAUUGGCUGGGCCAUUUCUGACGCUGAGGCGCGAAAGCUAGGGGAGCGAACGGGAUUAGAUACCCCGGUAGUCCUAGCCGUAAACGAUGGGUACUGGGCAAUGGACUUACCUAUGUGGUUCAUUGCUGUAGCUAAUGUGUUAAGUACCCCGCCUGGGGAGUACGCUCGCAAGGGUA
Molecule: ribosomal RNA, 378 nt
Filed under: uncultured Planctomycetota bacterium
Lineage: Bacteria; Pseudomonadati; Planctomycetota
Description: bacterial SSU rRNA
Rfam family: Bacterial small subunit ribosomal RNA
Source: RNAcentral